UGGGGAAUAUUGCACAAUGGGCGCAAGCCUGAUGCAGCCAUGCCGCGUGUAUGAAGAAGGCCUUCGGGUUGUAAAGUACUUUCAGCGGGGAGGAAGGGAGUAAAGUUAAUACCUUUGCUCAUUGACGUUACCCGCAGAAGAAGCACCGGCUAACUCCGUGCCAGCAGCCGCGGUAAUACGGAGGGUGCAAGCGUUAAUCGGAAUUACUGGGCGUAAAGCGCACGCAGGCGGUUUGUUAAGUCAGAUGUGAAAUCCCCGGGCUCAACCUGGGAACUGCAUCUGAUACUGGCAAGCUUGAGUCUCGUAGAGGGGGGUAGAAUUCCAGGUGUAGCGGUGAAAUGCGUAGAGAUCUGGAGGAAUACCGGUGGCGAAGGCGGCCCCCUGGACGUAGACUGACGCUCAGGUGCGAAAGCGUGGGGAGCAAACA
RNAcentral lists this ribosomal RNA (427 nucleotides) under uncultured bacterium. RNAcentral's name for it is "partial 16S ribosomal RNA". It matches the Rfam family "Bacterial small subunit ribosomal RNA", at positions 355 to 774 of the family's 1533-position model. The record is from RNAcentral.